UACGGAGGGAGCUAGCGUUGUUCGGAAUUACUGGGCGUAAAGCGCACGUAGGCGGCUUUGUAGUUAGGGGUGAAAUCCCGGGGCUCAACCUCGGAAUUGCCUCUAAGACUGCAUCGCUUGAAUCCAGGAGAGGUGAGUGGAAUUACGAGUGUAGAGGUGAAAUUCGUAGAUAUUCGGAAGAACACCAGUGGCGAAGGCGACUCACUGGACUGGUAUUGAUGCUGAGGUGCGAAAGCGUGGGGAGCAAACAGG
Molecule: unclassified non-coding RNA, 252 nt
Filed under: uncultured Sphingomonadaceae bacterium
Lineage: Bacteria; Pseudomonadati; Pseudomonadota; Alphaproteobacteria; Sphingomonadales; Sphingomonadaceae
Description: contains 16S-23S intergenic spacer region
Rfam family: Bacterial small subunit ribosomal RNA
Source: RNAcentral